GAUACCAUGUAAUCAAAUACCGCUCCAUUCAUUUCCCAACCAAUCUGAUAACGCUGCCUUCCCGCCGUUAUCCUUUCCCACGACUCCUCUCCCCCGCGUGAGAACAUGCCCCGCGUCCUUGUCCAGGCACCAUUGCCGCCGGCCGCUGCCUCCCUUGCACCAUCGGCCUCUACAGAUGAAGCUCAAAGGAAGUGACUUCAAAUUAUCACUCAAGAAUCUCAAGAGCAUUUGGUGAAGAGUGUUCUCCUGAUUUUGUGGAUGUCCAGUAUGCAGUGAACUUCUAGAAGUUUUUAUUUAUGUAUGCAUGUUUUAAAUACUUUGAUCAAUGGAUGCUUAUAAAGAUUCUAUGGAAUUUCUGGAGGAGUUAUCUGUCUUUGAUCUGUUUUUUAUCAACAGAUUAUGUGCUACAAUAUUCUGUGAAAAAUCUGUUGUUACUUGACUCAUCCA
Zea mays is the source of this 447-nucleotide long non-coding RNA. RefSeq lists it as uncharacterized. Lineage: Eukaryota; Viridiplantae; Streptophyta; Magnoliopsida; Poales; Poaceae. The record is from RefSeq and is a predicted model, not a curated record. The transcript has 2 exons.